GAAUGAAGCAAGCAUUGUAAUGUGCACAUAAAUUGAUUUGGGUCUCUAGGCCAGCCCUAUGAUGCCUUUCGGCUUUGAUUUGAGGGCAUGGUUCAUAGCAAAAUAU
This is a small nucleolar RNA of Rhododendron vialii, 106 nucleotides long. RefSeq annotates it as small nucleolar RNA snoR100. The transcript has a single exon. Lineage: Eukaryota; Viridiplantae; Streptophyta; Magnoliopsida; Ericales; Ericaceae. The record is from RefSeq and is a predicted model, not a curated record.